RNAcentral lists this ribosomal RNA (504 nucleotides) under uncultured bacterium. RNAcentral describes it as "bacterial SSU rRNA". It matches the Rfam family "Bacterial small subunit ribosomal RNA", at positions 26 to 525 of the family's 1533-position model. The record is from RNAcentral.
AGAUUGAACGCUGGCGGCAUGCCUUACACAUGCAAGUCGAACGGCAGCACGGGAGCAAUCCUGGUGGCGAGUGGCGAACGGGUGAGUAAUAUAUCGGAACGUGCCCAGUCGUGGGGGAUAACGCAGCGAAAGCUGUGCUAAUACCGCAUACGAUCUAUGGAUGAAAGCGGGGGAUCGCAAGACCUCGCGCGAUUGGAGCGGCCGAUAUCAGAUUAGCUAGUUGGUGGGGUAAAGGCCCACCAAGGCGACGAUCUGUAGCUGGUCUGAGAGGACGACCAGCCACACUGGAACUGAGACACGGUCCAGACUCCUACGGGAGGCAGCAGUGGGGAAUUUUGGACAAUGGGCGCAAGCCUGAUCCAGCAAUGCCGCGUGCAGGAUGAAGGCCUUCGGGUUGUAAACUGCUUUUGUACGGAACGAAACGGUCCUUUCUAAUAUAAGGGGCUAAUGACGGUACCGUAAGAAUAAGCACCGGCUAACUACGUGCCAGCAGCCGCGGUAAUA